This is a non-coding RNA of Psammomys obesus (fat sand rat), 360 nucleotides long. Lineage: Eukaryota; Metazoa; Chordata; Mammalia; Rodentia; Muridae. The record is from the annotation of a RefSeq genome assembly.
AUGGAGUCACACACCCAGAUCUUUGUAUUUUUGCUCCUCUGGUUGUCUGGUGCUGAGGGGAACAUUGUGAUGACCCAGACUCCUGAAUUCAUGUCCACAUCUGUUGGAGAGAGAAUUACCUUAAGCUGCAAGUCUAGUCAGAGUGUGAGUGGUUGGGUAGCUUGGUACCAGCAGAAACCAGGGCAGCCUCCUAAACUGCUAAUCUAUGGUGCAUCCAAUAGAUAUACUGGGGUCCCUGAUUGCUUCACAGGCAGUGGAUCUGGGACAGAUUACACUCUCACCAUCAGCCAUGUGCAGGCUGAAGACCUGGCAGAUUACUACUGUCAGCAGUAUAGCAGCUCUCCUCCCACAGUGCUUUAG